UACAGAGGGGGCAAGCGUUGUUCGGAUUCACUGGGCGUAAAGGGUGCGUAGGCGGUCGGGUAAGUCUGAUGUGAAAUCUCCAAGCUCAACUUGGAAAUGGCAUCGGAUACUAUUCGGCUCGAGGAAUGGAGGGGAGACUGGAAUACUUGGUGUAGCAGUGAAAUGCGUAGAUAUCAAGUGGAACACCAGUGGCGAAGGCGAGUCUCUGGACAUUUCCUGACGCUGAGGCACGAAAGCCAGGGGAGCAAACGGG
This 253-nucleotide ribosomal RNA is filed under the name uncultured bacterium. RNAcentral's name for it is "partial 16S ribosomal RNA". It matches the Rfam family "Bacterial small subunit ribosomal RNA", at positions 524 to 776 of the family's 1533-position model. The record is from RNAcentral.